AAAAUUAAGUAAGUUAACAAAAAGAUAAAAACUUAAUAUAUGCUACUUAAGUAAAGAAUAUGAUGCUUAUCAGAGUUUUAGAGUGAAUUCAGGCAACUUAAAUAUUGAAAUGACGGAGGUAAAUCUACAAGUUCAGAUCUGGAGCACCGCCAAAGGAACAUAUUGCUUGGACGGAGGGAGAGCACAGGCAUACCCAAUGAGAUGUUGUCCAGAUUUUUCAGUGAUGGAUUCUCAUCUUGUAGUUCCAAUGAAAUUUGCAAGCUGAAUCCAUGAGCGAAACAAAGAAAAAAAAAAGAUUGGACGUAAAUAGCAAAGAGAAGACGGAUGUAUAAGGUGUUGCAAGCAUCAGAGAAGAUGAAAUCUAAAAUACUUUAAGAGAAA
Nicotiana tabacum (common tobacco) is the source of this 381-nucleotide non-coding RNA. NCBI's taxonomy places the organism in Eukaryota, Viridiplantae, Streptophyta, Magnoliopsida, Solanales, Solanaceae. The record is from RefSeq and is a predicted model, not a curated record.